UUUAAGGUCUGACCUGCCCAAUGAGGAUUUAAAUGGCCGCAGUAUUUUGACUGUGCAAAGGUAGCAUAAUUAUUAGUUUUUUAAUUGAAAGCUUGUAUGAAGGGUUGGACGAGAUAAAAUCUGUCUCUAUUUAGAUUAAAAUAGAAUUUAACUUUUAAGUCAAAAGGCUUAAAUGUAUAUAAAAGACGAGAAGACCCUAUAGAUCUUUAUUUAAAUUGGAUUUUAAUAAUUUAGGAUUAUUUUAAUUUAAAUUCUAAUUUAAAUUUUAUUGGGGUAAUAUAAAGAUUAAAUAAAUUCUUUUUAUUUAUAACAUUAAUUUAUGAAUUUGUGAUCCAUUAUUAGUGAUUAGAAGAUUAAGUUACCUUAGGGAUAACAGCGUAAUUUUUUUGGAGAGCUCAUAUCGAUAAAAAAGUUUGCGACCUCGAUGUUGGAUUAAAAAUUAGCUUGGGUGCAGAAGCUCAAGAGUUUGGUCUGUUCGACCAUUAAAUUUUUCAUUGAUCU
Molecule: ribosomal RNA, 501 nt
Filed under: Myriochila melancholica
Lineage: Eukaryota; Metazoa; Arthropoda; Insecta; Coleoptera; Carabidae
Description: partial 16S ribosomal RNA
Rfam family: Bacterial large subunit ribosomal RNA
Source: RNAcentral